CGGUGUUGCUGUUAGCGCCCGGAACCGGGGGCGCAGAGAGGCUUCAAGUGCAACAGCUGUCACACAGCAGGCCCAGCUCCAAGCUCCUUCCCAGCCUCAAGGAGCAUGUGUCUUCCAAGACAGUCCCAGGCCUGUCCUCCAGCCCUCCUAUCCGGUGCCACCUCCAUUCUCAUCUGCCAGCAGUCUCUCGGUCCCCUAAUGCAAAGCACAGGACUGAUUUGACCUCUGCACUCUUCCUCCUAAGGGCCACCCUCAAGGACAUUUACUCUACCUACACUAGUUAGGGUCCUCAGGUUACCAACCUCACUUCUUGGCUAGGGAGGUUUUCCUUCCAGUGUUUGUGAGCAAUGACUUUCUUACUUUCUGUACUGACAGCAAAAGAUUCAUAUAAGCAAGAGACAUUUGCCCUUGGCAAUCCAAGGCCAGUGAACUUGAAUCUCCUAGUAUCAUGGGCUUGGGAGGUUUAAGCUCCCUUUCCCAAAGACUUUUGCUGCCUUCCUGGGGUUGCCUUUUUUCCUGAUCCUCUAGAUUUCUUGCCCUAUAUAGUGGCUUGUUCAGGACAUCAGCCUGCACUUGGAAAUCAAUUCCUCUUCCAAAUUCAGCAACAAGCAAUUUGUCAUGGUGAGUGUUUGUGUUUGGUGGGCUGUGUGCUAGGGGGUGUUGGGAGGUCCUUGGUCCGCUGCCCAGCCCUGCACCACACUGCUAGCUCUCAUCUUUAUUUCUCGUUGCCUCUUUCUAGAGGAAAAAUUCCUGCCCCUGUUUACUGCAUACAAGUUCUGAAAUCGCUCCUGAAAUACAUCUUGGAGUGUUCUGUCAUUGUCCCGUCAAAUAUAGCCCUUUCCCUGCCUCUAUGUCAGUGUCCUUAUAUUUUAUAAUUUCCAUGAUAGCACAUAAAAAACACUUGGAAAAACGGUUGCUGCUCUCACCUAAAAUUUCAUGGGUGCUGCCACAAAGAAAACACGGUUUUAAUUUCAGAUUAUGAGCCCCUGCAUCUGCUGGGAGUUCUGAGCUUUUCAGUGCAUACAAGUCACCAGAGUUUAUGCAACCAGGUGUUAAAUCAUACACCAAAGAAUUGGAUGUUAAAAGUCAGGCCAACAAGACACAGGAAAAGUGACUCUGGGUAUCUGAUACUAGGUGGACAGGACCACAGUAUUGACUAGUUUCUCAGACUGGUGACCCUCUGGCUACGAUGUGAGCAUCACUCAGACAAUACUAUUAUGGAAUGGCUGUUCUUAAGGCUAGCAUUACUCUGUUGAGGAUUUUCUUUGAGGUGAUUCUGGAAGAUGCAAUGUCUUUGCAGUGGUGCCUCUACCUUUGUUGAUUUGAUGCAAGAGGCCAAAGACAGACAUUGACACAACAGUUAGUACCAUAAGAGGGGACAGGAGGUCUCAACAUGGCCUUGCCCAGGUUAGAAACUAUAAGCACAAGGUAAGCCUGGAGAGGAUUGGCUGUCCCAGGGGAAAAUAUCAAACUGGCAGUGCUGGCCCAAAAGAAGGCCAUCGUUACUGUAGGCUGCAAAUAGUGUGAGGUUUUGCUCUGAGAGUGACUCCGUCAGCACUGCAGGGUGGAGUUGGAAAAGAAAUUCAUUGUAGUGUCUGCAGAGCCAUUUGGGGAAAGAGUUUGUUGUUUAAGACUGAGCUAUUCUGGGAAUCAGAAGUCACAAAAUAUCACUGUCUCUGGGGUCACCCUACCACAGUGAAAUAGAUCUUUGCCCUGACUCGUGGGAGAGUCAUGGAGAGGAGGCAGGCCUACUUGAAGCACAGAGCUUAGUGGUCUGUUUGAUUUCACAUCUGCCAGUGUAAUCAAGAUACCUGAGAUUGUAGAAGUGACACAUCCUGGGGAAUACAGACAGAAGGACCUCUGGAGAUGGGGGUACCUCAUGAGCCCAUAAACCAUAAAGCUAGUCAGAGAUGACCGUGACUUGGGGUAUCCAGAAGGGCACCAACAGCACCAACACUAAAAACUGCUGGAGUGAACACAACCCUAAGGCAGAUACCAUACCACUGACCCUGCCCAGGGGGAAGGUGGAGCAGGACUCAGCAUUCACGCACACAAACAGUGGGCAUGCAAACAAAACAGGCCCUCGUCGUGAUUCACUGUCCUCUACCUGUAUAUGGUAGAUCCCAAUAGCACAGGCCUGGAGAUGGACCACUCCCUUAAACAAGGGAGUGAAGUUUUUGAGAUCAUUUCUCUGUGGUUUUUUUUUUUUUGUUUGUUUGUUUUUUCUUAUCUUUGUUCUUUUAUUGAUUUUUUCUUUUACCCUUACCUGAUUCCACUUUCUUUUAUUCUUUAAUUUGAUUUUUUUCUUAAUUUUCUUCUCAUCUUCCUUUUCUUUUCAAGUUUUACUUCUUUCAUUUUCUCUAACCUCUUCCAUUUUAAAAAUUAUUACUAUUAUACUUUAUUACUCUUUAGCUAUUCAGUUGACUAUGCUAUUAUUGCUGAGUUGUUUCUUAUUGUUAAUGGUGCUAUAGUUAUGCUUUUAGUAGAUAUUUAUUAAAUGUCAGUAUUUGGUUUGUGUCUGCAUAAUUAUUGCAGGUCUCUUUUUCAUUGUAAAGUUGUAGCUAUUAUUGGUUCUUAACAGUAUGUUAAUAUCCUGUAAUAAACCUAUUUCUUAUCUAUUGUUGAUGGUGGCAUAAUUGUUGCUUUUAAUUAGUUUCCAGUGUAUGGUAAUAUCCAGUUUGUUUUGUAUUGUCUUUUCUUCUCUGAGUAGUGCUGAGGGUCAAGCCUCCAAAAAAAGUCUGGGCACCAAGAAGAAUUUAAAAUGUUGCAUUCAAUAGGAUGAAGAGGAGUAUAAAUACCAAAAUAUAACUAAAUCCAAGAACACAUCACAGGGAGACAGAAUCUAAUUCUGUCACCACAGUAGUGACAGAAGCUCCCCACCCUAAUCAAUCUUCAACCAGCAGUGUAAAAAAGAGAGAUACAUGAGAAAGGAAAGUGACAAGAUGCCUUCCAACCUCUGUAACUCCCCCAAAGCUUAUCUCAUGGAGACUGAAAUAGAGGAAGCUACAGGGAAAGAAAGAAACCAAAUGGUCAAAAUGAUUAAGAGGUAAAAGAAGAAACAUAUAAACGAAUGUCUGAGAUGUUUAAUGUGCUCAAAGAGGAUUUAAGUGAACAGAUAAAAUAUUUUAUCGAUAAAGUGUUAAACUGAGUUAAACAAGAAGACACAGUAUAUGAGUGAUCACUUGGUAAAGAAUUAGAAAA
This is a long non-coding RNA of Cavia porcellus (domestic guinea pig), 3201 nucleotides long. RefSeq lists it as uncharacterized. The transcript is spliced from 2 exons. The record is from RefSeq and is a predicted model, not a curated record. Lineage: Eukaryota; Metazoa; Chordata; Mammalia; Rodentia; Caviidae.